RNAcentral lists this unclassified non-coding RNA (249 nucleotides) under uncultured fungus. Its description in RNAcentral is "sequence contains ITS1". The record is from RNAcentral. Lineage: Eukaryota; Fungi.
GUAUUAAGUUUAAAGGCAUUAAAGCCUAUAAAUGACAUUCUGAACAUUCUAAUGGGGUAUAUGAAAACAUAGACCUGGAAGCUCAAAAGGAGUAAACCUCUGAGCUGGGGUAUCUUUUGCAAGACUUCCAGGACUACAUAAAGUGCACAGGUGGAAAAACAAUGAAGGGCGUGCACAUGCUCCUAAGAGCCAGCUACAACCCAACAAGUUAAUUCAAUAAUGAUCCUUCCGCAGGUUCACCUACGGAAA